This is a non-coding RNA of Brachypodium distachyon (stiff brome), 135 nucleotides long. Lineage: Eukaryota; Viridiplantae; Streptophyta; Magnoliopsida; Poales; Poaceae. The record is from Rfam.
GUUGUACUCCUUCCGUCGAACAAAAGAUAUCUCAAGUUUGUCAAAAUUUGUAUGUAUUUAGACAUGACUUAGUGUAUAAAUGCAUUCAAAUUUAGUCAAAAUUGAGACAUCCUUUGUUGGACGGAGGAGUAGUUU